Molecule: ribosomal RNA, 491 nt
Filed under: uncultured bacterium
Lineage: Bacteria
Description: bacterial SSU rRNA
Rfam family: Bacterial small subunit ribosomal RNA
Source: RNAcentral
AUCCUGGCUUAGGAUGAACGCUGGCGGCGUGCUUAACACAUGCAAGUCGAACGAAGCUAAGGGAGCUUGCUCCCAAAGCUUAGUGGCGGACGGGUGAGUAACGCGUGGGUAACCUGCCCUAUAGAGGGAGAUAACGUUCGGAAACGAACGCUAAUACCGCAUAAACCAUAAGGAGCUGCAUGGCUCUGAUGGCAAAGAUUUAUCGCUAUAGGAUGGACCUGCGUUGGAUUAGCUAGUUGGUGAGAUAACAGCUCACCAAGGCGACGAUCCAUAGCCGGCCUGAGAGGGUGAACGGCCACAUUGGGACUGAGACACGGCCCAAACUCCUACGGGAGGCAGCAGUGGGGAAUAUUGCACAAUGGGCGCAAGCCUGAUGCAAGCGACGCCGCGUGAAGGAAGAAGGUCUUCGGAUUGUAAACUUCUAUCAGCAGGGAAGAAUAAAUGACGGUACCUGACUAAGAAGCUCCGGCUAACUACGUGCCAGCAGCCGC